GGAGAGAUGUCCGAGCGGUUGAAGGAGGCGGCCUCGAAAGCCGUUGUAGGGCGUAAGCUUUACCCUGGGUUCGAAUCCCAGUCUCUCCGCCA
This 92-nucleotide transfer RNA is filed under the name Candidatus Babelota bacterium. Its description in RNAcentral is "tRNA-Ser". It matches the Rfam family "tRNA". From Rfam's summary of the family: Transfer RNA (tRNA) molecules are approximately 80 nucleotides in length. Their secondary structure includes four short double-helical elements and three loops (D, anti-codon, and T loops). The record is from RNAcentral.